GGUUAACAGAGCCCUGGUUGAAUAAAGGCCUGUUAGUAAAAGUGGCUUUGAAUACAAACGAGAAGAUGUCAUCUAGACUUUUAUUUUGAAAAGGCACGCUGCUGCCGAGAGCCAUGUGACUAGUAACAGCCAACCAUGUCGCGGUGACCUCUCUGGUUCAAGAGGAGGAAGAUGCAGAGGCAGGCUGCGCCUCUCCUUCAUCCCCCCGGUUACAUCGCUGGCAGUCCAGGAAACAGAAAGGGACCGACAUUUACAGCUGAAGUUUUUUUUUUUUGCACAGAUGGCAACUCACUGUGAUAGACCCCAAACAGCUGGCACAUAAUUUGUCCUUCCUUGGAUAAGCUGUAAUGUUGUUUAUGAAUUUCCUAUCGUAGUCAUUAUUCUGAAGGUUAUUAGUGCAUCAAUUUUUGGAUGCAUUUUGUGGAGUAUUUGCCCUGUGGGGUGUCUUUUGCAUUGAACAUUUAAAAUCUGGUAUUAGGGGGACGUGGUGGGUAGCGCUACCCACCAGUGGUGCAGUCAAUAAUGCAUGACAGUGGCACGGUGGUAGCGCAGUUGUCUCAGAGUGAGAAGGUUUCGGGUUCGGGACAUGUUUUCUUCAGGUAGUUUGGCUUCCUGCUAGUGUCCAAAGGAAUGUGGUUUAGGUUGAUUGCUGCGGGUAGGAGAGAGAGAUUUUGAGGGGGGCUGCACCCUCUGAGCCUUUUGGACGGGCCCUGCCUGGCCUUCAACCGCUCAGUGCUGUGCGUUCAGAGGGGCUGCUCCCUCUGAGCCUUUUGGACGGGCCGUGCCUGGCAGCCUGGCCUCCAUCCGCUCAGUGCUGCGUGUUCAGGGGGGCUGCUCCCUCUGAGCGUUUUGGACGGGCCCUGCCUGGCCUUCAACUGCUCAGUGCUGCGUGUUCAGGGGGGCUGCUCCCUCUGAGCCUUUUGGACGGGCCGUGCCUGGCAGCCUGGCCUCCAACCGCUCAGUGCUGCACGUCCAGGGGGGCUGCUCCCUCUGAGCGUUUUGGACAGGCCGUGCCUGGCCUUCGCCGCUCAGUGCUGCGCGUCCAGGGGGGCUGCUGCGGGGCAGCUUGGCCUUCGCUGCUCAGUGCUGCUCAUCUCCUGCAGUCAGCAGCACCUUUAGUCUGUGUUCAUAGAAUCGGAAGAAUCAGCUCAGUGUUCAUAGAGCAUCAGAGGAGGACAGGACUUGGCAUAUGCAUGAUUGGCAGAGCAUUCAUCCUCCCCCAUUUGAAUGAAGGAUGGCUUAUGACUCAGGUCUGUGGAAGCUGCUGGGAAAAGCAUUAGCGCCGUGACUGUGCAUUCAAAUGUGUCUAUCAGAAUUUACACUGACAUUUGCACAGUACAAGCAAACCUUUAAACCUGGCAAUCUGUUUCUGUGCUGUCGAAGUUGCAGUGCUGCAGACAUUGUGGUGAAAUGUUAAGUGCAGUACUUAUAAGGAUUUAUGAGGACUGGGAGAAUCCAGGUUACUUUUAAAAGGUUUGGAAAAUAGCACUGCGUCAUGACAGGAUAUUAGUCAUGUGCUAAUGCAUGACAGUUUUCUAUAGAGAUGUCUAAAGGCUCAGUGCCUACUGCAGGGUGGACAGUAAAAGUAACUACCAUGUCCAUUUCCAAACUUCUCAUCCAAGACAAAGGAUGGUUACAUCAGAUGCUGUGCCUCAGUAAAAGGUGAAACUGUUUAUGACAUUACUCAGAACAGAUUGUCUCUCCUGUUCAUCAAAAUCCUGCUCUCUGCCAGACAACGGAAACUGCUGGAGAGCUUCAGUCAAAGCCAAAUUCCUAUUAGAAGAAGAGCUGCCGUUUUUAUUCGGCCUGAGCACAGCGUGAGUUUAUAUGUAGUCAGCUGCCACUGAUACGCUAAAUCAUCAAUUAGUAUAAUGAGAAACAGGCAGCAAUGUUUAUUUUCAGUCACGUCUCACCAGUGUGAGUGUGAAAACAAAUGGACAAACGUGGAAAAGGUGAACAGCACAAACUCCUGAGUGAAGCUCAUCUCCUAGAGAUCAGUGAUACUGAAUGCCUCCAGAGAAAAUGUGGAGAAUCUCCCCAGGUUGUUGACUGGCCCAGCACAGGCCUGACUCAGAGGACACAUCAAUAACUAGGACCAACAAAUAGACAGGAUUUUGCCAAAGUGACAUGAUGCUCACUGCUGAUUUCCCAGAACCAGCAUUAAAAGAAAAUGCUUCCAUUUGGUCUUUAGGUCAGAGUGACCAGACAAACAGAGCAAAAUAAAUCCUAUUUGAGUUUAG
Monopterus albus (swamp eel) is the source of this 2240-nucleotide long non-coding RNA. RefSeq lists it as uncharacterized. Lineage: Eukaryota; Metazoa; Chordata; Actinopteri; Synbranchiformes; Synbranchidae. The transcript is spliced from 3 exons. The record is from RefSeq and is a predicted model, not a curated record.